Molecule: long non-coding RNA, 352 nt
Filed under: Physcomitrium patens
Lineage: Eukaryota; Viridiplantae; Streptophyta; Bryopsida; Funariales; Funariaceae
Description: long non-coding RNA (PPAT_LNC006020)
Source: RNAcentral
AUAAUUUAUUGCUCAAGCUUUUGUAUGCUGUAAUUGAUUAUUUGAAAGGUACUAAGAAUAAAGACUUGGCUGAAGAUGACAAAAUCAAGUAAUGGUAGCAAUCCAAGUUUUUUGAAAUUUAUUCAUCAAGGUUAGAAUUAAUAUCAAUUGAUAUGAUGCUUUAAAUCUCUCAUGGAGUAAGAAAAAAAUUCAAUGUUGUCAAGAUAGUUUAUGUUUAUAUUGUAGAGAAGCUAAGUACACUGUUCAACAUUGUCCAAAGAAGCAAUACAAUUAUAAAAUGAUAAGCACAAUAACCAAAGAAGAUAAUGUAUCAAAAAAUAAGUUUCUCCAAUUAUAAUAUAAACCGUGCGAU